CUUAUAUACCAUACUACCCUAAACUCAUCCAGUCUCAUCUAAUCUCUGAAGCUAAGCAGUUUUGGACGUGAUUAAUACUUAGAUGGGUUACCACUUGAGAAUAUUAGGUGCUGUAUAUAGGC
RNAcentral lists this ribosomal RNA (122 nucleotides) under Phascolarctos cinereus (koala). The record is from RNAcentral. Lineage: Eukaryota; Metazoa; Chordata; Mammalia; Diprotodontia; Phascolarctidae.